Molecule: long non-coding RNA, 292 nt
Organism: Calidris pygmaea (Spoon-billed sandpiper)
Lineage: Eukaryota; Metazoa; Chordata; Aves; Charadriiformes; Scolopacidae
Source: Ensembl
AAUUCUUCAUUAAAUCAUUAAACAGCAUUUAUCUGCAAAUACUCAAGGGAGUAGUGGUUUAACCUUCCACUUUUUUCCGAAGGCCAAGUUCCUCGGAGGAUUUUCCAUAAUUCUAUGUGAACUUCUCUCAGACCAACUUUUGCCACGGGCCUAAAGUGAAUAAAAUAAGGCAGAGGUUCACAGCUACACAGGAUUAUAGUACAGUAGAAAAAGAUUUAUGGGGAUGAUGAUUUCUCCUGAGGGCAAGGAGCAGCUUCGAGAGGAAAGUCAGAGGUCCUUUUCUAAAACCUAC